Molecule: ribosomal RNA, 254 nt
Filed under: uncultured bacterium
Lineage: Bacteria
Description: partial 16S ribosomal RNA
Rfam family: Bacterial small subunit ribosomal RNA
Source: RNAcentral
UACGUAGGGUGCGAGCGUUGUCCGGAAUUAUUGGGCGUAAAGAGCUCGUAGGCGGUGUGUCACGUCGUUCGUGAAAACCUGCAGCUUAACUGUGGGCGUGCGGUCGAUACGGGCAUCACUGGAGUUCGGCAGGGGAGACUGGAAUUCCUGGUGUAGCGGUGAAAUGCGCAGAUAUCAGGAGGAACACCGGUGGCGAAGGCGGGUCUCUGGACCGUAACUGACGCUGAGGCAUGAAAGCGUGGGUAGCAAACAGG